GCCGGGCGUGGUGGCGGGCGCCUGUAGUCCCAGUUACUCAGGAGGCCGAGGCAAGAGAAUCGCUUGAACCCAGGAGGCGGAGGUUGCAGUGAGCAAGAUUGCACCACUGCACUUCAGCCUGGGUGACAGAGCAAGACUCUGUCUCAA
RNAcentral lists this small RNA (147 nucleotides) under Papio anubis (olive baboon). RNAcentral describes it as "Metazoan signal recognition particle RNA (ENSPANG00000039332.1)". Lineage: Eukaryota; Metazoa; Chordata; Mammalia; Primates; Cercopithecidae. The record is from Rfam by way of RNAcentral.